UUGUGGGCUUAGCUAAUUGGGGGAGGAAGAGCAGCACCUGGGGGCUGGGACGCAGCCUCGUCACUGCCCAUUUGCUCUCAGAGGACAGGCUGGCGGAGAGAAGGAGCUAAGAGGUGGAACAGCCAGAGCAAACAGUCCCUGUGGAGCUCAGAACUGCCCUCUAAAUUGGAUCUGAACUUCAGCUCCGUCUCCCUCUAUUUGGACUGAAGAUAUGUGGCACGUCUCGUGUGCCCCAGUGAUUCUAAUUUCUACUCAGGAUCAGCCUUUCCUUGGUGAAUGAUUCAGCAUUUUACCAUCUGACAUUUUAAGAGAACCACUUUGCUAUUAAACUGAAGCCGUAUAUUAAAGUUAAACCCCGAAGCAAGCACGGGUUCAACAGAGGUUAGACAAAGAUAAGACCAUUUGUCACACCUACCAGCCUGCGAAGUGCACAGCAGAAAUGAAAUAAGAUUCCAGAGCCAGAGCCGGCUGGGCCUGUGCCUACAAAUUCUAAUGGACAGAAACUGCCCUUGGAGGCGGCUGUGGCUCUGGCUUCCGUGGACCCGCUCUCGCUGUUCAUAGACGAGGUGGAGGGACCCGAGGCCUGAGUCAGGACAGCUACUUGAAGGCAGCUUAAAAGUUAAACUUCCAGAUUGGGAAGCUGUACAUUGGAGAUCCCGUUCAAGGACCUGGAGCUUCCUCUCUGAGCCAAGAAGACGCCUGACUCCCCCUGGUCCUCCAAUGACUCCAUCGCCACAGGGACUGCCAGCAACGCUGGCGUCAGAACACCAGAGCCAGGCUACAACUCCAGGGCUUUCAGGACCGGCUGAGAAAUAAUGGCUGUCACUGCAUCGACGUGCUCUUUCCAAAUGCACAAAACAGGAAGGUGACCUGCCGACUCAGUGGAAGGCAAUAAACCACACAUUCAAUUAGAAUGACAUACAUUUAAUCACAGUUGUCUAAUGGUAUUUGAGAUUUCUUAUUUAAUCAGCAAUGAGACGACCUAGCAAUUAAUGUUGCUGAAAUCGUGGCCCUCCUUACCAGUGCCAUGUUGAUUUUAAACUAAUCUUUUUAUUUUAUAUCCUCUUUCUA
Long non-coding RNA from Eptesicus fuscus (big brown bat), 1071 nucleotides. RefSeq lists it as uncharacterized. The transcript is spliced from 4 exons. The record is from RefSeq and is a predicted model, not a curated record. Lineage: Eukaryota; Metazoa; Chordata; Mammalia; Chiroptera; Vespertilionidae.